RNAcentral lists this small RNA (27 nucleotides) under Bombyx mori (domestic silkworm). Its description in RNAcentral is "ovarian small RNA-23379". The record is from RNAcentral. Lineage: Eukaryota; Metazoa; Arthropoda; Insecta; Lepidoptera; Bombycidae.
UAUAGCUAGUGAUUUUUACUUGUAUGA